Molecule: non-coding RNA, 100 nt
Organism: Stereum hirsutum FP-91666 SS1
Lineage: Eukaryota; Fungi; Basidiomycota; Agaricomycetes; Russulales; Stereaceae
Source: the annotation of a RefSeq genome assembly
UCCUCGGUGGUAUACCGGCCAAUACACGCGUGCAAUAUGUGUUGGGUCGAUUCCAUGGCUUUGUGAACGCGAGAACGAGGUUCGACUCCUCGUCGAGGAG